This 544-nucleotide small RNA is filed under the name Pongo abelii (Sumatran orangutan). RNAcentral's name for it is "processed transcript". Lineage: Eukaryota; Metazoa; Chordata; Mammalia; Primates; Hominidae. The record is from RNAcentral.
AUUAGAAGCGCAAGAUGGCGACUGCGGCCGCAACCUCGGCUUCAGAACCCGAGGCUGAGUCCAAGGCUGGGCCCAAGGCUGACGGAGAGGAGGAUGAAGUUAAGGCGGCUAGGACAAGGAGGAAGGUGUUAUCGCGGGCUGUGGCCGCUGCGACGUAUAAGACCAUGGGGCCAGGGUGGGAUCAGCAGGAGGAAGGCGUGAGCGAGAGCGAUGGGGAUGAGUACGCCAUGGCUUCCUCCGCGGAGAGCUCCCCCGGGGAGUACGAGUGGGAAUAUGACGAAGAGGAGGAGAAAAACCAGCUGGAGAUUGAGAGACUGGAGGAGCAGUUGUCUAUCAACGUCUAUGACUACAACUGCCAUGUGGACUUGAUCAGACUGCUCCGGCUGGAAGGGGAGCUUACCAAGAGCUCUGGCUGGAGUGGCUGCACGACGAGAUCAGCAUGGCCCAGGAUGGCCUGGACAGAGAGCACGUGUAUGACCUCUUUGAGAAAGCUGUGAAGGAUUACAUUUGUCCUAACAUUUGGCUAGAGUAUGGCCAGUACUCA